This 468-nucleotide ribosomal RNA is filed under the name uncultured bacterium. RNAcentral describes it as "bacterial SSU rRNA". It matches the Rfam family "Bacterial small subunit ribosomal RNA", at positions 30 to 497 of the family's 1533-position model. The record is from RNAcentral.
AUUGAACGCUGGCGGAAUGCUUUACACAUGCAAGUCGAACGGUAGAGGGGGCAACCCCUUGAGAGUGGCGAACGGGUGAGUAAUAUAUCGGAACGUGCCCAGUCGUGGGGAUAACGUAGCGAAAGUUACGCUAAUACCGCAUACGAUCUAAGGAUGAAAGCGGGGGAUCGCAAGACCUCGCGCGAUUGGAGCGGCCGAUAUCAGAUUAGGUAGUUGGUGAGGUAAAGGCUCACCAAGCCAACGAUCUGUAGCUGGUCUGAGAGGACGACCAGCCACACUGGAACUGAGACACGGUCCAGACUCCUACGGGAGGCAGCAGUGGGGAAUUUUGGACAAUGGACGCAAGUCUGAUCCAGCCAUUCCGCGUGCAGGAUGAAGGCCCUCGGGUUGUAAACUGCUUUUGUACGGAACGAAAAGGUUCUAUUAAUACUAGGAGCUCAUGACGGUACCGUAAGAAUAAGACACCGG